GAACGGGUGAGUAACACGUGGGUGAUCUGCCCUGCACUUUGGGAUAAGCCUGGGAAACUGGGUCUAAUACCGAAUAUGAUCAUGCGCCUCAUGGUGUGUGGUGGAAAGCUUUUGCGGUGUGGGAUGGGCCCGCGGCCUAUCAGCUUGUUGGUGGGGUAAUGGCCUACCAAGGCGACGACGGGUAGCCGGCCUGAGAGGGUGUCCGGCCACACUGGGACUGAGAUACGGCCCAGACUCCUACGGGAGGCAGCAGUGGGGAAUAUUGCACAAUGGGCGCAAGCCUGAUGCAGCGACGCCGCGUGAGGGAUGACGGCCUUCGGGUUGUAAACCUCUUUCAGUAGGGACGAAGCGCAAGUGACGGUACCUAUAGAAGAAGGACCGGCCAACUACGUGCCAGCAGCCGCGGUAAUACGUAGGGUCCGAGCGUUGUCCGGAAUUACUGGGCGUAAAGAGCUCGUAGGUGGUUUGUCGCGUUGUUCGUGAAAACUCACAGCUUAACUGUGGGCGUGCGGGCGAUACGGGCAGACUUGAGUACUGCAGGGGAGACUGGAAUUCCUGGUGUAGCGGUGGAAUGCG
This 576-nucleotide ribosomal RNA is filed under the name Mycolicibacterium fortuitum. RNAcentral's name for it is "bacterial SSU rRNA". It matches the Rfam family "Bacterial small subunit ribosomal RNA", at positions 100 to 690 of the family's 1533-position model. Lineage: Bacteria; Bacillati; Actinomycetota; Actinomycetes; Mycobacteriales; Mycobacteriaceae. The record is from RNAcentral.